AUUGAACGCUGGCGGCAGGCCUAACACAUGCAAGUCGAGCGGAUGAAGGGAGCUUGCUCCUGGAUUCAGCGGCGGACGGGUGAGUAAUGCCUAGGAAUCUGCCUGGUAGUGGGGGAUAACGUCCGGAAACGGGCGCUAAUACCGCAUACGUCCUGAGGGAGAAAGUGGGGGAUCUUCGGACCUCACGCUAUCAGAUGAGCCUAGGUCGGAUUAGCUAGUUGGUGGGGUAAAGGCCUACCAAGGCGACGAUCCGUAACUGGUCUGAGAGGAUGAUCAGUCACACUGGAACUGGGACACGGUCCAGACUCCUACGGGAGGCAGCAGUGGGGAAUAUUGGACAAUGGGCGAAAGCCUGAUCCAGCCAUGACGCGUGUGUGAAGAAGGUCUUCGGAUUGUAAAGCACUUUAAGUUGGGAGGAAGGGCAGUAAGUUAAUACCUUGCUGUUUUGACGUUACCAACAGAAUAAGCACCGGCUAACUUCGUG
This 484-nucleotide ribosomal RNA is filed under the name uncultured bacterium. RNAcentral describes it as "partial 16S ribosomal RNA". It matches the Rfam family "Bacterial small subunit ribosomal RNA", at positions 30 to 507 of the family's 1533-position model. The record is from RNAcentral.